AGUGAACGCUGGCGGUAGGCCUAACACAUGCAAGUCGAACGGCAGCACAGUAAGAGCUUGCGCUUACGGGUGGCGAGUGGCGUACGGGUGAGGAAUACAUCGGAAUCUACUUUUUCGUGGGGGAUAACGUAGGGAAACUUACGCUAAUACCGCAUACGACCUACGGGGGAAAGCAUGGGAUCUUCGGACCUUGCGCGGUUGAAUGAGCCGAUGUCGGAUUAGCUAGUUGGCGGGGUAAAGGCCCACCAAGGCGACGAUCCGUAGCUGGUCUGAGAGGAUGAUCAGCCACACUGGAACUGGGACACGGUCCAGACUCCUACGGGAGGGAGCAGUGGGGAAUAUUGGACAAUGGGCGCGAGCAUGAUCCAGCCAUACCGCGUGGGUGAAGAAGGCCUUCGGGUUGUAAAGCCCUUUUGUUGGGAAAGAAAAGCAGCAGGUUAAUACCACGCUGUUGUGACGGUACCCAAAGAAUAAGCACCGGCUAACUUCGUG
RNAcentral lists this ribosomal RNA (492 nucleotides) under uncultured bacterium. Its description in RNAcentral is "partial 16S ribosomal RNA". It matches the Rfam family "Bacterial small subunit ribosomal RNA", at positions 29 to 507 of the family's 1533-position model. The record is from RNAcentral.